Molecule: long non-coding RNA, 534 nt
Organism: Varroa destructor (honeybee mite)
Lineage: Eukaryota; Metazoa; Arthropoda; Arachnida; Mesostigmata; Varroidae
Source: RefSeq, a predicted model, not a curated record
AUAGGUCUUCAUCGGGAAUCGGUGCAGAGAGGUUUCUGAUUAGCUGACAAAAAAAUAGCGGACGCAACUUACCUCCCAAACACCGAUGCGGAAGCUUACAUGAAGAACAGUCUCAUACAUCGCACCAACGUGGGUUUUGUCGUGCUGGAAGAAAAGCAACGAUCGCGUGAAACGGAUCCCACAAAGGAGCGUGGCAAUUUUACGGCGCUCGUCGAUGAUUGAGCGGGCAUAGUGGCUUUGUUUUUGUUUGGCCUCAGAAAGAAGUAAAAAUGUCUAAUACGACUUUUAUGAUUGGCGGCCAAUCGGUGAUUGGACGAGGAACUCCAAGCAAGCCGUGUAGGCAGGGGAAGCAAGAACAGACCUUCGAUGCUGGCCAAAUUAGAACCUGAUAAUGUUUUAAAACACUCCAUCUAUCCUCCACGCAAUCAAGUAUUAUCAUUAGAUAAUGGGUUUCUUCAUUGGUUCACCUUGCCGAUCAAACAGGUUACAGAAAUGAUCAUCAGCAACCGUUACAGCGUUCUCUAAGUUUGCAGA